This 200-nucleotide long non-coding RNA is filed under the name Elaeis guineensis (African oil palm). RNAcentral describes it as "long non-coding RNA (EGUI_LNC070194)". Lineage: Eukaryota; Viridiplantae; Streptophyta; Magnoliopsida; Arecales; Arecaceae. The record is from RNAcentral.
ACUUUUAGGGUGGAGGAGGGGCUAGUUUUAAAGGAAGAGAAUCCAACUCUCCUGCUCCUGGUCCUACUAGAAGGGCCAAUAGUGGAGAGUGGAAACCUACAUCAAGUCUAGUGAAGCUUCUAAAGGGUGGUCUAAGAGUGGGCUGAGAAGAGGUAGAAGGCUGAGAGGUAGGUGGCUAGGUAGGAGGUGUGCUUUGGGAU